RNAcentral lists this microRNA (21 nucleotides) under Bos taurus (domestic cattle). RNAcentral describes it as "bta-miR-2315". The record is from miRBase by way of RNAcentral. Lineage: Eukaryota; Metazoa; Chordata; Mammalia; Artiodactyla; Bovidae.
AGCAGAAUUUUUGGAUACUGG